RNAcentral lists this ribosomal RNA (254 nucleotides) under uncultured bacterium. RNAcentral describes it as "partial 16S ribosomal RNA". It matches the Rfam family "Bacterial small subunit ribosomal RNA", at positions 524 to 776 of the family's 1533-position model. The record is from RNAcentral.
UACGGGGGGGGGCAAGCGUUGUUCGGAAUUACUGGGCGUAAAGCGCACGUAGGCGGCUUUGUAAGUUAGAGGUGAAAGCCCAGGGCUCAACCCUGGAAUUGCCUUUAAGACUGCAUCGCUUGAACAUCGGAGAGGUAAGUGGAAUUCCGAGUGUAGAGGUGAAAUUCGUAGAUAUUCGGAAGAACACCAGUGGCGAAGGCGACUUACUGGACGAUUGUUGACGCUGAGGUGCGAAAGCGUGGGGAGCAAACAGG